Molecule: ribosomal RNA, 514 nt
Filed under: uncultured bacterium
Lineage: Bacteria
Description: partial 16S ribosomal RNA
Rfam family: Bacterial small subunit ribosomal RNA
Source: RNAcentral
GAUGAACGCUGGCGGCGUGCCUAAUACAUGCAAGUCGAGCGAAUGGAUUAAGAGCUUGCUCUUAUGAAGUUAGCGGCGGACGGGUGAGUAACACGUGAGUAACCUGCCCAUAAGACUGGGAUAACUCCGGGAAACCGGGGCUAAUACCGGAUAACAUUUUGAACCGCAGGGUUCGAAAUUGCAAUGCGGCUUCGGCUGUCACUUAUGGAUGGACCCGCGUCGCAUUAGCUAGUUGGGGAGGUAACGGCUCACCAAGGCAACGAUGCGUAGCCGACCUGAGAGGGUGAUCGGCCACACUGGGACUGAGACACGGCCCAGACUCCUACGAGAGGCAGCAGUAGGGAAUCUUCCACAAUGGACGAAAGUCUGAUGGAGCAACGCCGCGUGAGCGAUGAAGGCCUUCGGGUCGUAAAGCUCUGUUGUUAGGGAAGAACAAGUACCGGAGUAACUGCCGGUACCUUGACGGUACCUAACCAGAAGGCCACGGCUAACUACGUGCCAGCCGCCGCGGUAA